GAAUUUAUAAGACUGAAUUUGGUUUUGAGAAAUAUAUCUCUGAUCUCCCAACUGAUUUGAUGUACAUUGUAUAAUAUUAUUAAAUUUAGAUGUGGAAGUCACAAGUUGCCAAUUGAGGCUGGUAGAUUUUUUUCUAUUGAUAGAUCAGAAAGAAUUUGUGAUCUAUGUGAGAAGGAACAACUAGGUGAUGAGUUUCAUUACAUAUUUAAUUGUAACUUUUUUAAUGAUGAAAGACAGAAA
RNAcentral lists this long non-coding RNA (240 nucleotides) under Mytilus galloprovincialis (Mediterranean mussel). Lineage: Eukaryota; Metazoa; Mollusca; Bivalvia; Mytilida; Mytilidae. The record is from RNAcentral.